CCCCCACCUAACCCCUAGGGGCAUAACAUAGCUAUCGGAGAAAGCAGAUGCACGCAGCGGCAACCGCUACACGUGGUAGACCAAACACUUAUCCAUUCAUUUCUCAUCUAAAAUCUACACUUACCUCGUUGAAAUUCUCCUGGAUAUUUCCAUUUAUACAACUUUUUUGCUGUUUUCAUCUUUUUUCACCGUUUAUCAUAGGGUGAAUGGAGAAUAUUUAUUUUGAUAUCUUCUGUUACAAAUGAUGGAGUAAGACAGUAAUAUGGAGCCUAAUCUCAGUAGAGUCGAAGAGGAGAGGGUAACAGAUGCGUUGGGGUUUUUGUUGGGAAAGAGUGGUGGAGGUGGGUCGCCAGUUCCCAUGGACAAGCUACUGCAGUUGACAUCUUGUGGGUUUGUUAUCAUUGAUUCGUUGGAGUCAAAUCUAUCAAUUAUUUAUGUUGAUUUAGCAUUCGAGAUGGUCACUAAGUGAAAAAUAAGUUGGUACUCAGUCAAAGCUGAUGUGACUUCGGUGCGGGUAGUGUUGGUGGGAUGGGUUGGCAACAACAUAUGAGUACAAAAUUUGCUGGUGGUGGUGGUGAGGUGACGACGAUGUUCCGGUUGUAUCGAUUUUCGUAGAAUGGCAGUGGGUCGAAGUCGGGUGAUAUGUUGACCAAUUGUAACCAAUUAUUUGGGUAAUUGUGACAAAUAGAAUGAUCGAUUGGGGACAAAAUCAAUUGGGGGGCUGUUGUAUCAAUCUCCUCUCUCUCUUGAUCUUCUUUCUCUCUUUAAAUACCCUAAUUCUAUAGAAUUAAUUGGGGAUUGUUGUACAUAAUCUGACGGAAUCGAUGGGCGCCAUUGCGCAAUCAACCCAAGUCUACAAGUCGCAGACAUUUGCAAUCAACCCAGUGGCAAAGAUAGUACCUUGCUAGUGGUGAUAUAUCUAAGGUUGUAUGUGUCAUAUCUAUUGUUGGAUCAUUCACAUAGUGGCAGUGGUAUGGUGAUGUCAGUGGUGGUGGUUAGGAUUUGUUGAAAGUGAUGGUGGUGCGCAUUUGGUUGACGUUGUUGGGAGUGGUGGUAGUGAUGAUGAAAAUCGAGUAUGACCAAAUAUAUUUUCAAUGUGACUAUCUGUGAUCAAAUCUAUAAUAACUGUGACUGUAAGUGACUUUAUUACAUAUAGUCAGAAAUUAGACAGAUAGGGUCACGGAUAGUCACACUGAAGAUAAAAUUGGUCACAAUUAGUCACAAAAACAAAGGUCAGUGAAUGUAGUAAAGUUGGAGGUGAACAUGGCAGUGACUGGUGGUGGAUUUUGGUACUGGGCUAAGAUGUGUGAAAAUUUGUUUAUUGUGACUCUUUGAGGUCAAGUAUGUAUUUAUUGUGGAAGUU
Molecule: long non-coding RNA, 1363 nt
Filed under: Olea europaea (common olive)
Lineage: Eukaryota; Viridiplantae; Streptophyta; Magnoliopsida; Lamiales; Oleaceae
Description: long non-coding RNA (OEUR_LNC008893)
Source: RNAcentral